GGAAUAUUGGUCAAUGGGCGCAAGCCUGAACCAGCCAUGCCGCGUGAAGGAAUAAGGCCCUAUGGGUCGUAAACUUCUUUUGUGGUGGAGCAAUAAGGUGUACGUGUACACCGAUGAGAGUACAUCACGAAUAAGCAUCGGCUAACUCCGUGCCAGCAGCCGCGGUAAUACGGAGGAUGCAAGCGUUAUCCGGAUUUAUUGGGCGUAAAGCGAGCGCAGGCGGUUUUUUAAGUCUGAUGUGAAAGCCUUCGGCUUAACCGAAGAAGUGCAUCGGAAACUGGGAAACUUGAGUGCAGAAGAGGACAGUGGAACUCCAUGUGUAGCGGUGAAAUGCGUAGAUAUAUGGAAGAACACCAGUGGCGAAGGCGGCUGUCUGGUCUGUAACUGACGCUGAGGCUCGAAAGCAUGGGUAGCGAACA
Molecule: ribosomal RNA, 419 nt
Filed under: uncultured bacterium
Lineage: Bacteria
Description: bacterial SSU rRNA
Rfam family: Bacterial small subunit ribosomal RNA
Source: RNAcentral